UGCUUUUUAGGUAAGUUCAGUGAACUU
Molecule: small RNA, 27 nt
Filed under: Bombyx mori (domestic silkworm)
Lineage: Eukaryota; Metazoa; Arthropoda; Insecta; Lepidoptera; Bombycidae
Description: ovarian small RNA-34359
Source: RNAcentral